GAUGAACGCUGGCGGCGUGCCUAAUACAUGCAAGUCGAGCGAACGGACGAGAAGCUUGCUUCUCUGAUGUUAGCGGCGGACGGGUGAGUAACACGUGGAUAACCUACCUAUAAGACUGGGAUAACUUCGGGAAACCGGAGCUAAUACCGGAUAAUAUUUUGAACCGCAUGGUUCAAAAGUGAAAGACGGUCUUGCUGUCACUUAUAGAUGGAUCCGCGCUGCAUUAGCUAGUUGGUAAGGUAACGGCCUACCAAGGCAACGAUGCAUAGCCGACCUGAGAGGAUGAUCGGCCACACUGGAACUGAGACACGGUCCAGACUCCUACGGGAGGCAGCAGUAGGGAAUCUUCCGCAAUGGGCGAAAGCCUGACGCAGCAACGCCGCGUGAGUGAUGAAGGUCUUCGGAUCGUAAAGCUCUGUUAUUAGGGAAGAACAUAUGUGUAAGUAACUGUGCACAUCUUGACGGUACCUAAUCAGAAAGCCACGGCUAACUACGUG
RNAcentral lists this ribosomal RNA (497 nucleotides) under uncultured bacterium. Its description in RNAcentral is "partial 16S ribosomal RNA". It matches the Rfam family "Bacterial small subunit ribosomal RNA", at positions 28 to 507 of the family's 1533-position model. The record is from RNAcentral.